UACGUAGGGUGCAAGCGUUGUCCGGAAUUAUUGGGCGUAAAGAGCUCGUAGGCGGUCUGUCACGUCGGCUGUGAAAGCCCGGGGCUCAACCCCGGGCCUGCAGUCGAUACGGGCAGGCUAGAGUUCGGUAGGGGAGAUCGGAAUUCCUGGUGUAGCGGUGAAAUGCGCAGAUAUCAGGAGGAACACCGGUGGCGAAGGCGGAUCUCUGGGCCGAUACUGACGCUGAGGAGCGAAAGCGUGGGGAGCGAACAGG
RNAcentral lists this ribosomal RNA (253 nucleotides) under uncultured bacterium. Its description in RNAcentral is "partial 16S ribosomal RNA". It matches the Rfam family "Bacterial small subunit ribosomal RNA", at positions 524 to 776 of the family's 1533-position model. The record is from RNAcentral.